Molecule: long non-coding RNA, 1900 nt
Filed under: Mytilus galloprovincialis (Mediterranean mussel)
Lineage: Eukaryota; Metazoa; Mollusca; Bivalvia; Mytilida; Mytilidae
Source: RNAcentral
UAUUAAAGAAUCAGGAUAUAUUGGUUGUUAUCAGGAUGACAGCACUAGAAUAUUACAUAACGAGGUACUGAAAGACAAAGGUAUGACAGUUCAAAAAUGCAAACAGUUUUGUGGUAAAAAAAGGAUUCAAGUUUGCAGGUGUUGAGGUAAGUCAUUGAUAGGUAAGGAGUUUGUGUUCAUGAAUUUAUAAAAUAAGGUUUGAUUAUAGUAGUUUUUGAAAUGUGCUUCACAUCACUCUUCACCGAAACAUUUAUUUUAGUCAACCCUAGUUUUUAAUAAAUAUAUUACAUUUUUCAAAACUUGUGUCCCAGGGGUAAUAUCAAUCUUAAGCCUGAGGGGCGGUUCUUACAAAUAAUUACCAAAACAAAACGUUUUCGGAGUCGUAGAUUUUAUUCCUUAGACUUUUAAUUGCUCGAUCGUAUUUGAACCAUAAGAAGGACAUAUGACAUAUAUACUUUAUUACUCUGAGAUAGGCAAAUACCUUGCAUUACCUUGUAUUUGAUUAGAUUAUGUUAAUAAAAAGGUGAUACUUAUAAUAAAAAGAAUAAUAAUUUUAUAGUAUGGAUACGAAUGCUUUUGUGGGAAUGAUUUACGAAAAGACAGAAAAAGAAAAGAAAGUGAUUGUAAAACGCCAUGCUCAGGCAAUAAACGUCAGACAUGUGGUGGUCCAUGGAGGAUCUCUAUUUAUACAGGUAAGAGGUUGUUUGUAUAUAUUUCCCCUUCCUCUACACCGAUCACUAUAUAAUGAGAUGGUGAUCUUUAUUUAAUUGGCACGUUGAGAUACACGAAUGAGAUAUUCCUUGUUCAUUUUAUUUCUAAUUUGAUUCAAGGAAAAUGAACUAAAAUUUAUCUGUAACACUUCUUUUUUCAAUCAUUGUAUAUAGCUGAGUUCCACAUAAAGAGAAAUUAGCAUCAUUGGAGUUCUUAAUCUUCUCAACAUUUGGGUUUGGUAGUAUAUAAAAGAUGCCUUAGGGUUGGACUAGUAAGAAUUUUAAUCACAGAUUUUUUCUCAAAUAACUGUUAUUUGUUUUGACUCUGAGCUAAAAAGAGAUUUUAUUUGAUGCAGCCUAUCACUGAUGAGUCUUUUGUAGACGAAACGCGCGUCUGGCGUUAAUUUAAAUUUCAAUCCUGGUUUCUAUGAUGAGUUUAUUAUCAACAUAGUUUACGUUCGUACGUUUUGUCAGAUCAAUAUAGACAUUUAUUUCCAAAUAGCAUUAAAAUAUAUGCAUCCCAUAAUAUAAUAAUACCUGCAUAUAUAUUGCGUCUGUUAAGCAGAAUAUCGAGGUGACGGAGUAAAAUCUUGUAAAAAAGACAAACGUUAGUAUUUUUAUAUUGUACACAAAGCAAAAUACAACUUAUAAUUAAAUCAAGAUUUAAUUUAGUGUAAAGACGUCAUAAAAAGUCUGCAAAAAAAGAUGACCUUGUGCAAUGCCAAACUAUAAGUAUCCUCCUCAUUGUGAGCGAAACAAUAUUUCUAAUAAUCCAUGUUUUAUUUAUCUUGUUAUUAUUCAAACCAUUACGAUAUAAAAUUGACUUUUGAUACAGGGAAACAAACUUUUUACUACAUGUUUGUUGGUUAAAACCUUAGUUACAUAUCAGAAUGUAUAAAAUAAAUUAAAAUAAAGUGUAUUUAUUUUUUCUAUACAAAGCACCAGAGGAUGUUGAUGGUGAGUAUGUUCUCUAAAUUAAGUGCAAAUAAAAACAGACAAUACCAUGGCCAAAAAUUACAAGAAAUAUAACCUAUAAUUCAAGAAUUGUCCAUUUUGCCAAGAUGACAUCGUGAAAUUCGAAAAUAACCAAGCCCUUGCCAAGGAGAAUGAAUAAAAUAUUACUCCAUCGUGACCUUUGGUAGUCAGCAUUGACCCAAUGAACAUCCAAUUUAAAUGUCACAAUAUCAAAU